Molecule: ribosomal RNA, 632 nt
Filed under: Streptomyces sp. So3Ps_1726
Lineage: Bacteria; Bacillati; Actinomycetota; Actinomycetes; Kitasatosporales; Streptomycetaceae
Description: bacterial SSU rRNA
Rfam family: Bacterial small subunit ribosomal RNA
Source: RNAcentral
CCUGAUGCAGCGACGCCGCGUGAGGGAUGACGGCCUUCGGGUUGUAAACCUCUUUCAGCAGGGAAGAAGCGAAAGUGACGGUACCUGCAGAAGAAGCGCCGGCUAACUACGUGCCAGCAGCCGCGGUAAUACGUAGGGCGCAAGCGUUGUCCGGAAUUAUUGGGCGUAAAGAGCUCGUAGGCGGCUUGUCACGUCGGGUGUGAAAGCCCGGGGCUUAACCCCGGGUCUGCAUCCGAUACGGGCAGGCUAGAGUGUGGUAGGGGAGAUCGGAAUUCCUGGUGUAGCGGUGAAAUGCGCAGAUAUCAGGAGGAACACCGGUGGCGAAGGCGGAUCUCUGGGCCAUUACUGACGCUGAGGAGCGAAAGCGUGGGGAGCGAACAGGAUUAGAUACCCUGGUAGUCCACGCCGUAAACGUUGGGAACUAGGUGUUGGCGACAUUCCACGUCGUCGGUGCCGCAGCUAACGCAUUAAGUUCCCCGCCUGGGGAGUACGGCCGCAAGGCUAAAACUCAAAGGAAUUGACGGGGGCCCGCACAAGCAGCGGAGCAUGUGGCUUAAUUCGACGCAACGCGAAGAACCUUACCAAGGCUUGACAUAUACCGGAAAGCAUUAGAGAUAGUGCCCCCCUUGUGG